AAAAAAAAAAAAAUUUAUCGACUUUUAUCACAACUAGAAAAAGCAAGAAAGAAAGUAAAAAAUCUUUAAUAAAUGGGUAAAAUAAGCCAACCCAGGUUUCGCCGGAGACAGGGGUCUUCGUUAGCGGAGGUUGCCGGAGUGGUGUGAUGAGGGCCAGAGUUGGAACGAUGAGGUCCGAAGUUGUUCCCAAUCUCCAGAUCUGGUUUGGGGGUUCUCCAUCAGAUCUGGUUUUUGUUUAGGAGAGAUUAGAUCUGAACAUAAACAAGGGUUUAGGGGACCACCGCCGCAAACACCGUGCCACCGCGCCGUGAAACAGAAGCACCACCGCCGCCGUCACGGGUGGCAUUGCCGUCGCCGACUCCGCCUCCUCUCUCUCUCACUGUGCUUCUGUUUCUGUUCUCCGUCUCUGUCGUCGCUGUGUGUCGCCACCACCACAGUGGUGGCCGGUCGUUCAGUUGAGCAGGGGUGGGGGGAGGGGUUGAGUGGUGAGCGAAGAUGAGAGGGUUUUGGUUUGCUUUAUGUGAAGAUCUGGAUUUACAUAGAGAGGAGAUGGGAUUUUGAAUUUUUUAAGAAU
RNAcentral lists this long non-coding RNA (574 nucleotides) under Helianthus annuus (common sunflower). RNAcentral's name for it is "sRNA HanXRQr2_Chr01g0008371". The record is from RNAcentral. Lineage: Eukaryota; Viridiplantae; Streptophyta; Magnoliopsida; Asterales; Asteraceae.